AAAUCUAACCCACCGAAGAGGUGUUUUUUUGGGUUAGAGUUAGGUGGGGCCAGAAAAAGUUACUUUUCUGUCUCCCUCCAUCACACAAAAUUCUAAUAAAGGAGCCAAAUGAUUAAACAAUGCAUUUAUUGACAAUCUAACCCUUCCAUCUAAACACCUUUUGGUUAGAGUUAGUUAAGGGUUAGUCUAGAGUUAGAAUCUAACUCUAACCUCUAACCGAGUUGGAGUAUUCAAACAGGGCCAAAGUGGCAUCCAUGCGAUAGAACAUGUGUUGCCCCUCUCCAUGUGAUAUGUCGGCCGUCAUCCACACCGUCAGCGCACAUGAUCAUGAAAUGGACGGCAACACGUCACGCAAGCACGCGGGAUCGCGAACGUUUGGUCAAUAUAAUCACCGGUUUAUCUUUUUACUUUUUUAGCAGAGUACAAUCCAAAUCGCUCACACACACGAGCAUACACUCAUCUCUAUGAACGCACACACGCACAUCCUAGCAUCUUUGAGAGACAGAGCUGACACAUCAUUUUAAUAUUGACAAAGUCGUCAUAGAUGACUUCGUAGUCGACGGGGACGUUUCCUUUCACUGAACGCACAUCGUCGGAAGGUCUAGAAUAAAUUCAAAGAAAUCAAGCACCGAUAUCAAAUCUAGCAUUUGAACUCUAGUUGGUAGGGGAUACCACAGUCCUCCUAACCAUUCAACCAUGAAGUGGUUUGCUAAUUAUGUGAUUAUUUUAAGGAUGUAGUGUUUUCAUUAGGGUCAAACCGUCUGUAGUUUAAAGUCGAGCUACUAAAAUGGCUCGUACUUAGCUUAUAUCGUUCUCGAGUUAGUUUCUAGUCAAAUAAGCGGAACGCAAUUUUAUAAUAGAAGGGCGUUGCUUCGUGUCGGCCGACAAAUCUUUUCAAAAGAUCUGCCACCUCGCAGGCCAUCGGAUCUCAUAGAUUGAGUGACCGAGCGUCACCCCAUACCAUUACAACAAAACCGAGCGUCAUCCUGUAUUUUUUUGCAACAUAGGUCAAGUUACAAUUUUUUUUUUGCAAUAAAGUUUUAAUUAUAGUUUUUUUCCUAGCAACUGAGGUCUUGUCACAGAAAUUUUUGUGACAAAAGUCUUGCUACUGAAAUUUUAUAGAAGUUGAGAAAUUUAUAGAAUUUUCUCGCAACAAAGAUC
This 1161-nucleotide long non-coding RNA is filed under the name Hordeum vulgare. Its description in RNAcentral is "long non-coding RNA (HVUL_LNC005578)". The record is from RNAcentral. Lineage: Eukaryota; Viridiplantae; Streptophyta; Magnoliopsida; Poales; Poaceae.